This 307-nucleotide unclassified non-coding RNA is filed under the name Hevea brasiliensis (rubber tree). The record is from RNAcentral. Lineage: Eukaryota; Viridiplantae; Streptophyta; Magnoliopsida; Malpighiales; Euphorbiaceae.
GUACAAAUUGGAUUAAUCGCACAAGAAAACCCCAUCACAAAUAACACACGAGGUAGCUGAGGCUGCAGACUUCAAACACUUAAAUCCCACAACAAACAAAGGGUAGGAAAUCAAGGAAUUGCUCUUCUUCUACAAGUACUUGACAAGUAGAUAAGCAACCAGAGCCAGAAUAAUAAUAGCAGCAACACAUAAGAGCAGGCACAUGCAUGAACAACCUCCUUUAGUCCGCUUACUGAGGAUAGCCAGUCUUUUUUGCACCCUCUGCAGUCCAGAGUUUGUUGACUCGACAUGGUCAUCUAAAUUAUCA